This 780-nucleotide long non-coding RNA is filed under the name Salmo salar (Atlantic salmon). RNAcentral's name for it is "lncRNA (ENSSSAG00000103693.1)". Lineage: Eukaryota; Metazoa; Chordata; Actinopteri; Salmoniformes; Salmonidae. The record is from RNAcentral.
GUGUUAUGUAUGGGUUGUGAAUGUGUUAUGUAUGGGUUGUGAAUGUGUUAUGUAUGGGUUAUGAAUGUGUUAUGUAGGCACUCUUCAAAUAUCACCAGGUGUUACCGAAAAAAAAUCCUAAUUCUGAAAGAACCAUCUGGCCCUGUCUGAUACCGUAUUCAUGUUUUCUCUCUUUUCUUGCAGGUUAUGGAAGGGAAAGUUAUUCAAUUUGGUUUUAUCUCGAUUACCGGGAUGAAAAUAUCAUGGUGCGAAGAGCAACGCCAGUUUCAGGAGAGGAGAUUAAACAUUGAUUAUUGAUGAUCCAUGGCGCGGAACCUGUAGUGACGAUCCAGGGCACGGAGCCUCCUGAGAUGGUCCACAGUCCGGAACCACCUGAGACAACCCACAGUCCGGAACCUCCAGCGUCGUUCCCCAGUCCGGAACCUCCAGCGACGGUCCGCAGCCCGGAGUCUUCAGCGACGGUCCGCAGCCCGGAGUCUUCAGCGACGGUCCGCAGCCCGGAGUCUUCAGCGACGGUCCGCAGCCCGGAGUCUUCAGCGACGGUCCGCAGCCCGGAGUCUUCAGCGACGGUCCGCAGCCCGGAGUCUUCAGCGGCGGUCUGCAGUCCAUGGGCUCCAGCGGCGGUCUGCAGUCCGGAGUCUCCAGCGGCGAUCUGCAGUGCAGUGCCUCCGGCGCUGAUCCACAUUCCGGUUCCUCCUCCGACAAUCCACAGUCCGGCAAUACAAAAGUGGAGGGAUCAGCGGUCGGAGUGGGGGCUACGCCCCGAACCGGAGCCGCCAC